This 486-nucleotide long non-coding RNA is filed under the name Cricetulus griseus (Chinese hamster). RNAcentral's name for it is "lncRNA (ENSCGRG00015010778.2)". Lineage: Eukaryota; Metazoa; Chordata; Mammalia; Rodentia; Cricetidae. The record is from RNAcentral.
CACCAGCCGAUUUCUCAACUCAGAGCCUCGUGCUGUGUCACUAGGUUCCCCAUCCUCAGCUUCUGAGAGCUGCAGACAUGGGGUAGCCCUGUGACACUCCCCCACACAUGUCCUCUGUCACCCACGUGUGGGCCCUAGUUUCCUUCCCAGACAGCAACUACAGCCAGACAUGCUGAGGCCUGCAGAAUUUCUCUUCCCACAUGAAUGACUGGGCCACUCUAUGCACAGCACAGCCCUGUGAGAAAACAAGACUUCCUAUGCUUUCCUUCCAUCAUUCCUCACCAUGCAAGCAUUAAUGCUAAUGGAGGGAAGCACAAAAGUAAGAACUGGGGCUGGAGAGAUGGCUCAGAGGUUAAAAGCACUGACUGCUCUUCCAGAGGUCCUGAGUUCAAUUCCCAGCAACCACAUGAUGGCUCACAACCGUCUGCAAUGAGAUCCGAUGCCCUCUUCUGACAUGCAGACAAACAUGCAGACAGAACACUGUAU